UAACAAAAGGAAAUAACUGCAAUAUUAAGUGUAGGCCACUUCUGCUCUUAUGUUCCACUGAACAGUUCUGGUUGCCUAAAAUUACUUCAGUUCCAGACCUGGUACUUUCUUCUUUCUCUACGAAGACAUCCUAUGGCAUAAACAAAGGGAUCAUUGCUGGGACAGGAGAAAGAAAAAAGGCUAACUCAAGGACAAAACAGAAAGCUUUCAGGAAAGAAGGAAGAAAUGUCUUGAGGUAUGUGCAAGAAGCUAUGUUCUCCCAACAUUUGCUUUUAAUUGUACUUUACUAGUUUAUUAGAAAAAAAAAGUUCCUCCUCCUGUCCCAUGCUUCCUUCCACCCAGUAGAGAGGUAUCAUUUGGGUAUGAUGAGGUCAGCUAGACACUAUGAAGCAGUGAACCCUGAAAGAGGUUGAAAAUGGUAGUGGGGGUAGUGGGGGGUGUCUAUUUCAGGCUUAGUUGAUUCCUUUAGAAAGGAAAGAAGUCUACUGUACACUGCAGGAGCGAAGUGAGAGGUUUUAGAGAAGCUACUAUAAUAAGACAUGGGAUGGGGUAGUUUGAUGAAGGACCCUUAGGAUUCCAGAUUUGGAGAAGUUGUACUUGGAGUCUGCACUUUAAAGGGAGAAAGAUGCCUAUGGAGUAAAGAUGUUCUGAUGCUGAGCCCAAACUAGAAGAGAAGAGGGAGAAGUGGAGGUGAGAAGGGGAAGGGAGACGGUCUCAGAUUUGUGACAUGAAGAAGGAGAAAGGAAAGGAGAAGUGUGUGCAGAAGCUCCUUGUAAGCCGAUAUUAUUUCAUUUUUUUUUGUACUUGUGUUUCACUAGAGACACAUGGUGUCUGGUAAGUCGUAGGCGCUUAAUGCAUAUUUGUCAUUUGAUUGUAUGUGUGAGUGAUGCUAUAAGUUGGAGGAUGGGGUGUAGUGGAGCAAUAGAUGUGGUAAGAAUUUUAUAGAGCACUCGAGUGCAUGAUAUAGCUGGUAUAGAUAGAAUGCUGGAUCUGCAGUCAGGAGAAAUGGAUUUGAGCUGUGCCUCAGACACUAUCAUUUAACUCCUCUGAGAUGAAUUUUGUCAUCUGUAAAAUAAGGGGGUUGGACUACAAGCCCUUUGAGGUCCCUUCCAACACUAAAUCUAUGUAUAGGGACAAUUGGCUUCUCUUAAAUUUGCCUCAUUUUCCUACUACAUAAGAACCUUUCUUUUUUCACAAUAACCAUGUAUUUUUAGGAAA
Molecule: long non-coding RNA, 1218 nt
Filed under: Phascolarctos cinereus (koala)
Lineage: Eukaryota; Metazoa; Chordata; Mammalia; Diprotodontia; Phascolarctidae
Description: lncRNA (ENSPCIG00000023615.2)
Source: RNAcentral